UGAGACACGGCCCAGACUCCUACGGGAGGCAGCAGUGGGGAAUAUUGCACAAUGGGGGAAACCCUGAUGCAGCGACGCCGCGUGGAGGAAGAAGGUCUUCGGAUUGUAAACUCCUGUUGUUGAGGAAGAUAAUGACGGUACUCAACAAGGAAGUGACGGCUAACUACGUGCCAGCAGCCGCGGUAAAACGUAGGUCACGAGCGUUGUCCGGAAUUACUGGGUGUAAAGGGAGCGCAGGCGGGCGAUCAAGUUGGAAGUGAAAUCCAUGGGCUCAACCCAUGAACUGCUUUCAAAACUGGUCGUCUUGAGUAGUGCAGAGGUAGGCGGAAUUCCCGGUGUAGCGGUGGAAUGCGUAGAUAUCGGGAGGAACACCAGUGGCGAAGGCGGCCUACUGGGCACCAACUGACGCUGAGGCUCGAAAGUGUGGGUAGCAAACAGGAUUAGAUACCCUGGUAGUCCACACCGUA
RNAcentral lists this ribosomal RNA (467 nucleotides) under uncultured bacterium. Its description in RNAcentral is "bacterial SSU rRNA". It matches the Rfam family "Bacterial small subunit ribosomal RNA", at positions 320 to 804 of the family's 1533-position model. The record is from RNAcentral.